Molecule: long non-coding RNA, 2232 nt
Filed under: Homo sapiens (human)
Lineage: Eukaryota; Metazoa; Chordata; Mammalia; Primates; Hominidae
Description: non-protein coding LINC01622:25
Source: RNAcentral
UUAGUAACACCCAGGUUAGUCCUACUUAAUUCUUACCUGCAGCCAAAGUGGACUUAGCAUCUCCUUGCAUGCCUGGUAAAGUCAAGGGUUUUCAGCCAGGGCCUGUGUAUAAAGCAGAAGCAGCACAGAGUCUGGUUUGAAGCUUAGUGCUUGGGUUCAGACAGUUGUGGGUUACAAUCCCUUCUACACAUGUUCUCUGUGGAAACCAUUUGGUUCUCUGUGCUUGGAACUCGCCUGCAACGGGACAAAGCCAUCUCACCUAGACUGUUGUUAUGAAGAUUGAAUUAGGUGAUUCUGAGAGGCAUUUAUGCGUCCUCCCUGAGUAACAAUCCAUGAAAAGUGGGCGUCAUUGCUGAAGCUCAAGGAAGAAAUAUGAAAUUUGAUUAUAUCCUUAUUCACGGCAUUGGGUCACCAACUCAGCACUUUUUAUGAAAGUAGCAUCUGACCUGGCAAAGGCUGUGUCAUCUUAUUACCUCAGAAAGACAAAUUUACGGGGUCAGACGAUGGAUGGCUUGUAGAUUUCUCAAUGGGCUGGAAGGAAGGAGAGAAAAAGAGAGACAGGAGAGAGUACACAUUUAAUUCUGCUUCCCCUAGGGUGAUAUUUCCUUCCUCCCCUUCCAGGGUUCUCAAAAAGGCAUUCUAGGAAGUCCUGUAAAAUACAUGCUCAUAAAAAUCUCAUAAUUUCCACAAAUUGUUGAGAAUUUAAAACUCGGUUGGGAGUUUGCUGUUUCAGCCUGAGACACCGGGGUCACGUUUCAGUGCCUGCAGUCUUGAGACAGUACCAGGCAUCUGGGAUGAAGCUGAGGAAAGAAGAUGUGGGGGCCCUGCUGGCCUGCUCCUUCUCUCGAAAGACGCUUACCGGCUGCUGGUGUGUCACAGGGCUUUAGGAUUUGGAAAAACAGAGGGAUUUAAAAGAAGAUAGAAUGGUCAGAAUUUCGAGAACUGUGUGCUGAAGUGCCAUCUUUAGGGUGCUCAUAACACGGCCUUACAACAUUAGAGGUGCUGGAAUCAUGGAAGAGGCAUCUGGACUCUGUAAUGUCCUUCCCCCUGGAAAAUCUGCUCCAGAAGUGGGGGAUUGGGAGCUGUCAACAUAUGAGCCAUCUUUUGCUCCGUUCAAGAUGGUAGGGGCAUUCUCAACAUGCCCCUCACUCUGAUUCUGCCUCACUUUUAUUUUAGAAUUUUCCACUGCCUUUUCUGGAAUGUGCUUUUUCAACCCUCAAAAUCUGUAGAGAAGAAAUAAGCAGAAACCGAAAUGGCUUUCUGGUGUUCUCCAUGCUCUCAGCUUACUGGAAAAUCGAGCCGCAGGCUCGAGGCUGGACUUUAAGGCAGAGCACUGCAAUUAUAGUGCUAUGGCCUUGGCUUCCUUUCUCAUCACCCAGGUACAGUCCUGCAGUCCUCAGAGGAUGCCAGUCCCACACAGGGGGAUCCUUCUCCAUAGGAAAACCGAGGAACAAUGCAGGUUCGAGGUGCACAGUGGCUAAGCACACUCAGUCCUCAAGAUCUUUCCUCUCAAAUGCUAAUGCUACCUUCAGAUGGGCUGCUGCCUGCUACCAUUUCAACAUUGAGUCCUUUAAGAUGCCAUCAGAGAGAGGGGAAGCAAGAGGCCAAGAAAAAUGAAAGGCCCUGCAUGUUUUUCUUCGGGAAGGCUGUGCAGUCUGCUCUGAGGAGACAGAUCAACCUAGCCCUUCUCCAGGACGAACUCCGAAAACCACAGGAAUUCACGUUCAAAGGAUGACGCAUCUCAGAAUCAGUGAAUUUUAGGAAAAUGACUCGAUAACUGCAACGGUGAUGUCAUGUGUGUGUCUACUUUAGAGAGCAGAUGGUCGAUCUGGUGCUAAUUUGCCCAAUACGGUAGCUACGCGGCAAUGAAAUUCCAAAACUGGCACAAGGCGGGCCUGGUUCCAGGAUUUCCACGAAACUUGUGGGGCUACAGGCCAGUGGAACACUUCCAAAGGGCUUGACACCAGGCCAAUGGCCUUCUUAGAACACUGUCAUCAUUGAUUCUGUAUCUACAGAAGUCAUGUAACUGUGGCUGCCUCUUUUCAAUGGAAACAGAGCGAAAUACAACCUGGUCAGCUAAAUCGUGCUGACCUUAAAAACACUGCAUCCUCUUAGGCAACCACUUUGGCUUAUAAACCACAUGUACAAUAUUCCUGCUACUUCAAACAUGACUUUUUUAAUGAGCCAAAAAAAAAAAAAUCUAAGUUUGUAAAUAAACCGAAUUCAUUGCCA